Molecule: long non-coding RNA, 1110 nt
Organism: Oncorhynchus keta (chum salmon)
Lineage: Eukaryota; Metazoa; Chordata; Actinopteri; Salmoniformes; Salmonidae
Exons: 3
Source: RefSeq, a predicted model, not a curated record
GUCUCUCUAUAUUCAGAGACAUCAGUACAGAGUGCCAGGUCUCUCUAUAUUCAGAGACAUCAGUACAGAGUGCCAGGUCUCUCUCCAUUCAGAGACAUCAGUACAGAGUGCCAGGUCUCUCUCCAUUCAGAGACAUCAGUACAGAGUGCCAGGUCUCUCUCCAUUCAGAGACAUCAGUACAGAGUGCCAGGUCUCUCUCCAUUCAGAGACAUCAGUACAGAGUGCCAGGUCUCUCUCCAUUCAGAGACAUCAGUACAGAGUGCCAGGUCUCUCUCCAUUCAGAGACAUCAGUACAGAGUGCCAGGUCUCUCUCUAUUCAGAGACAUCAGUACAGAGUGCCAGGUCUCUCUCUAUUCAGAGACAUCAGUACAGAGUGCCAGGUCUCUCUCCAUUCAGAGACAUCAGUACAGAGUGCCAGGUCUCUCUCCAUUCAGAGACAUCAGUAUCAAGCCUGUGUCAGUCUGGACUUCAUCACAUCAUCUCGCAAGUCUCCAUGUGCUGGCUCCAUACAUGUUUCUGAGAACACAGUCACUGUUCUAUUAUCAAUGGCAGUUAGGAUAUGUCUUUACCAGCGUUUCAUUAAAUGGACACAGCAGUGUAGAUCAGCUCCCAGCCCUUCCUCAAAGAUACUGGACGGUCACACACACAAACAGAGCACUGAUCAGACAUGAUCAAUACUGGUUAUGAUUAUCCUGGUGGAACCAACCUGAUCAAUGGAUUUGCCUUUCUAUUUCUCUUCAGAUAUCAGAAAAUGUGAAGUGAAAUAGCAUGGUGAACACAGUGAUCAGGCUGGUUCCCACCAGGCUAGGUUAUAGCCUGGAGAUUAUAUGGUGAACACAGUGAUCAGGCUGGUUCCCACCAGGCUAGGUUAUAGCCUGGAGAUUAUAUGGUGAACACAGUGAUCAGGCUGGUUCCCACCAGGCUAGGUUAUAGCCUGGAGAUUAUAUGGUGAACACAGUGAUCAGGCUGGUUCCCACCAGGCUAGGUUAUAGCCUGGAGAUUAUAUGGUGAACACAGUGAUCAGGCUGGUUCCCACCAGGCUAGGUUAUAGCCUGGAGAUUAUAUGGUGAACACAGUGAUCAGGCUGGUUCCCACCAGGCUAGGUUAUAG